CAAUAGCGUAUAUUAAAGUUGUUGCAGUUAAAAAGCUCGUAGUUGGAUUUCUGGUUGGAGCGACCGGUCGGGCAUUGAUUUGUCUGCACUGGAGUCGGUUCUGGCCAUCCUCUUGGAAAGUGCGUCUGUCAUUAAGUUAUCGGGCGUAUGAUCCAGGUCUUUUACUGUGAAAAAAUUAGAGUGUUUAAAGCAGGCCUUCGCCUUGAAUACAUUAGCAUGGAAUAAUAAGAUAGGACUUUGGUCUAUUUUGUUGGUUUGCAGACCGAAGUAAUGAUUAAUAGGGAUAGUUGGGGGUAUUUAUAUUCCAAUGUCAGAGGUGAAAUUCUUAGAUUUUUGGAAGAUAAACUUAUGCGAAAGCAUUUACCAAGGAUGUUUUCAUUA
Molecule: ribosomal RNA, 381 nt
Filed under: uncultured eukaryote
Lineage: Eukaryota
Description: partial 18S ribosomal RNA
Rfam family: Eukaryotic small subunit ribosomal RNA
Source: RNAcentral